RNAcentral lists this microRNA precursor (63 nucleotides) under Acyrthosiphon pisum (pea aphid). RNAcentral's name for it is "microRNA api-mir-3053 precursor". Lineage: Eukaryota; Metazoa; Arthropoda; Insecta; Hemiptera; Aphididae. The record is from miRBase by way of RNAcentral.
AGGUAACUUAUUCACUGUGCGAGUGUUGUGUUUGAAAAUCCCACGGUUGAAUAAGGUACCAUA